CCGAGUUUACACUCCCAAACCCCCUGUGAACCUCUACCGAACGUUGCCUCGGCGGGGGCGCGGACGCGCGCCGUCCCGCCCCCGCCGGGGGACCCAAACCAAAAACUCUUGUAUCCUCCCAUCGUGGCAUGUCUGAGUGGAUUUAUCAAAUGAAUCA
Molecule: unclassified non-coding RNA, 157 nt
Filed under: Claviceps panicoidearum
Lineage: Eukaryota; Fungi; Ascomycota; Sordariomycetes; Hypocreales; Clavicipitaceae
Description: ITS1
Source: RNAcentral